UUCACUUACAGCUUAAGUAUUUCAGUAAAUGGACUUUUAUGAGUUUUGCUAAGAUCUGUGUGGGUCAUUGGCUUGGAAGAAAAGGAUAGGACUUCUAGAUGAAUAAAGAUAUGGUGUAUUUUCCAGGACUAAAUCAUCUUUGUGCUGUGAUCAAGCAUGAGAAAUUUCCACCCUGAGGAAAAAUAUUUGAAGGUUGCAAAAUGAAUAUGGACUUCUUCACGAGAUGGGGGUGGAAACAGCCAUCUGCAUCUCUGUCCUCAAACACUCUCACCUCUGAAGCUAGAGAAAGGGGACUACCUCUGCUGUUGAAAAAAAUCCUUUCAAAAGAUUCUGCCUUUCAAAAAAGGGCCAAUUUGGGGUACUUGCCAACAUGAACCACUAUGGCUGGGCGAAUAAAAUAUCAUUUUUGACCCAGCUCGGGUCUCUGCUCUGUCUCCAAUGCCUUGUAAUGGACAAUUCUCAACAAGUAUUUAUGGAAUUAAUAUCCCAAAGACAACUUUAUUAAAAUAGGAACAUUGAAAAAAAGCCAAAGUACUUAAAAAAACCUGUGUCUGUUAUCUGCGAUUAUGACUGUAAUUUUACAACAUGAUGUAUGUGUUCUCUGCAGUUACAAUAUUUUAAAACGUAAUUCUGACAAGGUUAUUUCUACAUAAUCAUCAAAUCCACCAUUUAAUCAACCUGUUGUUUGUUAUUUAAGAUUAAUUAAAAGGCAGAUGACUGCAUGCCCAGUUUACUGAGUGUGUGACAAAGUCAGCUCCUCAACUGGCUUAAAGCACUGAAUAAACUUUUUUUUUGGAAAUUAACAGUUUAAAAUCUUUAAUCUAUCCUUCCUUCCUUCCAGAAACACUCACUGAACAUAUACUAAGUGUGAGGCCCUGGUCCAGGUGCUAGAAAUAGAGCUGUUUAUAAGACAAUCCUUGUUAUCCUUGAGCUUAUAUUAUAAUUAGAGGAGUCAAUAAAUACAAAAAUAUGCAAAUCAAUAUCAGAUAUUGAAAAGAGUUAUUAAGAAAGUACAGAUACUAGAAUAAAGCAAGAGAGUAACGGCGUACAAGGAGCUGAUAUCUUAGGCGUGGUGCCCAGGUCAGCUAGUUCUCUUUGAGUGCUGUUUGAGCAAGACCUAAAUGAGGGAGAGAGACAUGCAAGUAACUCAGGGCAGAGAGAUUACUGUACAAGGACCCUAAGGAAAGGAUCCAGGGCUCGGAAAACUGCCAGAUAUCUACUGAGGAUUGAGGAGGCCUGAGAGUGGUAGGAGAUGGGGUUGGGUCAUGUAAGGCUUUAUAGACUAUGUAGGAAGUAAAACAAUCUGAUUUUUGUUUUAAAUCUUCUCUAUGACUGUUAGCUAUCUAUUGUGUUGAGACUAUUUUGUUAGGAGAGCGGGUCUGCAGAGGGAAGUGGAGGGACUCCAACAAUUGUAAUUAUUAAUAUAUUAAUUUUUGCCUAGCCUCUAUUUUGCUAGCAAAUUUUAUUCGGUGACUUCAAAUAAAAUAAAUUCUCUGCAAGAAAUUUAAACUUCAUUGCAUCAAGCUAAUUCUAUGAUUUAGUUGGGGGAACCACUAAGCAUUGGGAAUAAAAGUACAGAACACACUUAAGCAGCUUCCAGUUAGAUAGGGAAGACUGACAAAUAAACAAAAUGAUUAAUAGAUUGGGACGCUAUGGUAAGACAGAAGGACCCCCUAAACCAGGCCUUAAAAAGGUGGGAGGGUCUAACAAGGCUUAUUGAAAGAUAACUUUUAAGUCAAAAAUUGGUGGAGAGAAAAACAUGUACAAAGACUGGAGGCAAAGUUGUAGGGGAAGUGUCUUAAAUUCAGGAAAGGAAGUCAGCAUGGCUGAGACAAAGGGCAGAGACGUUUUGGUUUGUGUGUUUGCUCAUUGGGAUUUGGAGUCGAGAGGUAGAGUUAGGGAGGUUGGGGAAGGUAAGGAGCAAAGAUAAGCAUAAGUCAGUGAGAGAGACAUGAAGAAAGAAUUACUGAUACCUGUUCAACUUCAACAUUUGGGCAAUGCCAUCAGGCAGGUUACUAUGAAAAAUGACUGAACAGAGUAAGAUGAAAAAAUACUGAGUCCUCAAAAACCCACCAUCACUCUCUGUGCCUACCAGUGAAGUAUGUUCAGUCCAUCCUGAAGGAGGAGGGUGAACAUAAAAGAGAAAUCAUGGGGCAAAUCAAUGACAUCCAAAAUCAUAUGAACUUUCCAAGAACAGAUUCACAGCCGAAGUUAACACAAGUGAAGGCUUAAAGUUAUAUUGUAUUCAAUAAAAACAGGUAGCAUUAUUUAAUUUAUAAAGAAGCAUUUUGAAUGAACUUUAGUGUGGUUCAUCAUUUUUUACACUUAUUUUAUAAUGACUGAAUAAAUGCUUUUAUUUUAAAGAAAAGUACCUUGUAGUCUUACUAAUGACUUUGGAUAUCAUCUUUGGAGCAAUGGAAAGCCCUGAGGGGCUUUAAACAAAUAAAUGGAUCAUAUUCGUAUUUCAGAGACAUUUCUUCUAUCUUUGUCACUGCAGUAUUAAGAAUCACUCAGAGCAAUUCAAGAUUGCGUGUAAAGGCUAGAUAUAGGCUCAGUAGUAAAAUAUACACCGAAGAGAUAUUUAAAAGCCAUUAUUGAAUGGAACUGGAUGGUUAGGGGUAGAGUCAAGAGGAACUGAGGACAACACUCAGUUUCUGGCAUUAAUUUAGGUUCUACCAAUUUAGACUCUGAAAAUUUCAUCAGGAGCCAGACUUAAACUGACUUCUCAUAGGUUUUUAAAAAUAUUUCUCAAUGCAAAUUAAUCGUGCCAACAAAAUGGGGCAGAGAAAUUUUAAAAAGAAGUGCUACUUACGUGCAAAAAACUGUUAUAGGUAUAUACUUUAAUAAUAAACCUAAUGAAAGAACCCAUUAAUGUAGCUUUUAAAUGCUUAUUAACACAAUUACACUGAAAUGGUCAUUUAAACUGUUUAUACAUUUACAUCUGCCUUCUAUGUUUUUCUGGGUUAGUAAGGCCUCAUUGUAUGUUUCAUUCUAUUAUCAUUCAUAAAAGUAUAUGUGCAGAUACUAUUCUAAGGGGUACUGAUGACUGCAAAUUGGGUAGAUUUAGCAUGUUAUUCUUAAAUAGGUAUUGAUUAAUGAGCAACAAGAAAUUACCACUAGAUAUUCAGUUCUUAGGUGAGUUAGCAUUGUUUAGUGGACCCAUUCAAAACUGGCCUAUUGACUUUAUAUCUAGAGAGAUAUGAACGUAUAGUAUUAAAGACUGAUUUCUUUUAAAUACAUGACUUUUCAUAAUCUAAGUCAUGGUGUACCAUACGUACAAAUUAGUUAGAUUGGCCCCCAUGGGGUCAUAAGAAUUACAUGAAUUAAUAUAAUUUCAAUUAUUAAAGGAUUGAAAUUCUAAAGCCCUAAUAAAAUACUACACUGUUGUAAACAUUGGAAUGGUGAUUUUCACUCUUAUUAUUACUUCAGACAUUCAGAUAUGAUUUUUUUUCUAUGCCCUUUGCCCUUGUCAGGCUUACAUUUGAAAUUUUAAAAAGAAAAGUUAAUCUUUCAGUUGCCUAUCAUUAAAUAGUUCUCUAAAGAAAUAAUAUCCCGAGGAAUAUAGAUGCAUCAAAUCUUGCACUGAAAGGAAUCUAAGGCAACAUUCUCUUACUUCAUGACUUUUCCUUGAUGAACCCAUGUUUGGAUAAUGAGUUUAAUGGUGUUUAACUUAAAUUAUCUCCACAUAAAAAUUUAAUAAACUUCUCUUUCUAAGUUUCAAUAAACCUUUUUAAAGAAAAUAUAGAGCCCAGAAUAUCUUAACAAUUCAUUGAUAUUGUUCAUUUUUAUCUUACGCAAACUGUAGGACCAGUUACAGCAAUAAUUCCAGAUUCUUUUAGAUAAACAUCAGAUUCUAAUUACUGUAAACUGAAACACAUCUAAGAAAACAAUGUGUUUAAUUUAUGAAAUUAAAAAAAACCCUACAUCUGUUCUUGUGAGACACAUCAUUGCUUUGACGUCAGUGACCUAACCACAUGCACGAUUUUUUCUUGAAUUAAAAAAAAAUAAAGCACCCUGACGGUAGGUUUUAGGAUCUUCAAAGUACUAGCCAUUCCCAGGAAACAGUUCUAUCAUUUUUUAAGUACUACAAGUGUGUUAUUCACAAGGAAAAAGAUGAAUGAUUAUCAAGUGAGUAGCCAUUAUCAAACAGUUUUUUUUAGGUUUAUACAGCCUCUUACACUGUGUUAUAAAAAUAAAGCAUGAAAAUCCUGUGUGCUUUUAAAAUGAAUAAAUUAAGUUGUGAAAAUUUCAACUGGUUUUCUAUUUAGAGAAUCAUCACACAACAGUGUUACAAUAAAACAAUAUAUAAUAUAUCAAAAAAACCAAAACCCACUAAUUUGGAAAUAUACAUG
Long non-coding RNA from Delphinapterus leucas (beluga whale), 4352 nucleotides. RefSeq lists it as uncharacterized. The record is from RefSeq and is a predicted model, not a curated record. NCBI's taxonomy places the organism in Eukaryota, Metazoa, Chordata, Mammalia, Artiodactyla, Monodontidae.